GACGAACGUGGGCGGCGUGCUUAACACAUGCAAGUCGAACGGAAAGGCCCUGCUUUUGUGGGGUGCUCGAGUGGCGAACGGGUGAGUAACACGUGAGUAACCUGCCCUUGACUUUGGGAUAACUUCAGGAAACUGGGGCUAAUACCGGAUAGGAGCUCCUGCUGCAUGGUGGGGGUUGGAAAGUUUCGGCGGUUGGGGAUGGACUCGCGGCUUAUCAGCUUGUUGGUGGGGUAGUGGCUUACCAAGGCUUUGACGGGUAGCCGGCCUGAGAGGGUGACCGGCCACAUUGGGACUGAGAUACGGCCCAGACUCCUACGGGAGGCAGCAGUGGGGAAUAUUGCACAAUGGGCGGAAGCCUGAUGCAGCAACGCCGCGCGCGGGAUGACGGCCUUCGGGUUGUAAACCGCUUUCGCCUGUGACGAAGCGUGAGUGACGGUAAUGGGUAAAGAAGCACCGGCUAACUACGUGCCAGCAGCCGCGGUGAUACGUAGGGUGCGAGCGUUGUCCGGAUUUAUUGGGCGUAAAGGGCUCGUAGGUGGUUGAUCGCGUCGGAAGUGUAAUCUUGGGGCUUAACCCUGAGCGUGCUUUCGAUACGGGUUGACUUGAGGAAGGUAGGGGAGAAUGGAAUUCCUGGUGGAGCGGUGGAAUGCGCGGAUAUCAGGAGGAACACCAGUGGCGAAGGCGGUUCUCUGGGCCUUUCCUGACGCUGAGGAGCGAAAGCGUGGGGAGCGAACAGGCUUAGAUACCCUGGUAGUCCACGCUGUAAACGGUGGGUACUAGGUGUGGGGUCCAUUCCACGGGUUCCGUGCCGUAGCUAACGCUUUAAGUACCCCGCCUGGGGAGUACGGCCGCAAGGCUAAAACUCAAAGGAAUUGACGGGGCCCCGCACAAGCGGCGGAGCAUGCGGAUUAAUUCGAUGCAACGCGUAGAACCUUACCUGGGUUUGACAUGGAUCGGGAGUGCUCAGAGAUGGGUGUGCCUCUUUUGGGGUCGGUUCACAGGUGGUGCAUGGCUGUCAUCAGCUCGUGUCGUGAGAUGUUGGGUUAAGUCCCGCAACGAGCGCAACCCUGGUUCACUGUUGCCAGCACGUUAUGGUGGGGACUCAGUGGAGACCGCCGGGGUCAACUCGGAGGAAGGUGGGGAUGACGUCAAGUCAUCAUGCCCCUUAUGUCCAGGGCUUCACGCAUGCUACAAUGGCUGGUACAGAGAGUGGCGAGCCUGUGAGGGUGAGCGAAUCUCGGAAAGCCGGUCUCAGUUCGGAUUGGGGUCUGCAACUCGACCUCAUGAAGUCGGAGUCGCUAGUAAUCGCAGAUCAGCAACGCUGCGGUGAAUACGUUCCCGGGGCU
Molecule: ribosomal RNA, 1346 nt
Filed under: uncultured bacterium
Lineage: Bacteria
Description: partial 16S ribosomal RNA
Rfam family: Bacterial small subunit ribosomal RNA
Source: RNAcentral